GACGAACGCUGGCGGCGCGCUUAACACAUGCAAGUCGAGCGAAGCGGCGGACGGGUGAGUAACACGUGAGUAACCUGCCUUAGACAUUGGGAUAGCCUCGGGAAACCGGGAUAAAUACCAACUGGUCUCAGUUGGACUCGCGUCCCAUUAGCAAGUUGGUGAGGUAACGGCCCACCAAGGCGACGAUGGGUAGCCGGCCUGAGAGGGGGAACGGCCACAUUGGAACUGAGAGACGGUCCAAACUCUACGGGAGGAAGCAGUGGGGAAUAUUGCACAAGGGAGGGAACUCUGAUGCAGCGACGCCGCGUGAACGAAGAAGGCUUUCGAGUCGUAAAGUUCUUUUAUAUGGGAAGCGGUACCAUAAGAAAAAGCCCCGGCUAACUACGUGCCAGCAGCCGCGGUAAUUC
Molecule: ribosomal RNA, 407 nt
Filed under: uncultured bacterium
Lineage: Bacteria
Description: partial 16S ribosomal RNA
Rfam family: Bacterial small subunit ribosomal RNA
Source: RNAcentral